AUUGAACGCUAGCGGGAUGCCUUACACAUGCAAGUCGAACGGAGUGGCGAACGGGUGAGUAAUGUAUCGGAACGUGCCCAGUAGCGGGGGAUAACUACGCGAAAGCGUAGCUAAUACCGCAUACGAUUGGAGCGGCUGCUAUCGGCUUAGCUAGUUGGAGGGGUAACGGCUCACAAAGGCGACGAGCCGUAGCUGGUUUGAGAGGACGACCAGCCACACUGGGACUGAGACACGGCCCAGACUCCUACGGGAGGCAGCAGUGGGGAAUUUUGGACAAUGGGCGAAAGCCUGAUCCAGCAAUGCCGCGUGUGUGAUGAAGGCCUUCGGGUUGUAAAGCACUUUUGGCAGGAAAGCGGUACCUGCAGAGUAAGCACCGGCUAACUACGUGCCAGCAGCCGCGGUAAUAC
This 407-nucleotide ribosomal RNA is filed under the name uncultured bacterium. RNAcentral's name for it is "partial 16S ribosomal RNA". It matches the Rfam family "Bacterial small subunit ribosomal RNA", at positions 30 to 526 of the family's 1533-position model. The record is from RNAcentral.